CUCCGCGAGUCCGUCAGUUCAGUUCUACACUCAGCCGCAAGUAUACAAACUUGAGGUAAGGUAGGAAAAUAGAGGCUGCAAACGGGCUAAUACUCUGGGAAAACAGAUGGCAGACAUGUUAGCUGGCAGUGUUCUCAUCACUGGGUGUAAUAGAGGCCUUGGCCUGGAGAUGAUUCGUCAACUCGUCACUUCCAGUACUCCGCCACGAGUAGUGAUCGGGACCUGCAGGAAACCUGAUGAAGCUUUGGAGCUGCAAGCGCUGGCUAAAGACUGCAGUAACCUCAGGAUUGUCAAGUUCGCUACAGCCACAGUAAGCAACACCUCCU
Long non-coding RNA from Homarus americanus (American lobster), 326 nucleotides. RefSeq lists it as uncharacterized. The transcript is spliced from 3 exons. The record is from RefSeq and is a predicted model, not a curated record. Lineage: Eukaryota; Metazoa; Arthropoda; Malacostraca; Decapoda; Nephropidae.